CCUACGGGAGGCAGCAGUGGGGAAUAUUGCAAAAUGGGGGAAACCCUGAUGCAGCGACGCCGCGUGUGGGAAGACGGUCUUCUGGAUUGUAAACCACUGUCCCCAGAGAAGAAAAUGACGGUACCUGGGGAGGAAGCUCCGGCUAACUACGUGCCAGCAGCCGCGGUAAUACGUAGGGAGCAAGCGUUGUCCGGAAUUACUGGGUGUAAAGGGAGCGUAGGCGGGGAUGCAAGUUGGGUGUCAAAACUACCGGCUCAACCGAUAGUCGCACUCAAAACUGCAACUCUUGAGUGAAGUAGAGGCAGGCGGAAUUCCUAGUGUAGCGGUGAAAUGCGUAGAUAUUAGGAGGAACACCAGUGGCGAAGGCGGCCUGCUGGGCUUUUACUGACGCUGAGGCUCGAAAGUGUGGGGAGCAAACAGGAUUAGAUACCCGAGUAGUC
This 440-nucleotide ribosomal RNA is filed under the name uncultured bacterium. RNAcentral describes it as "partial 16S ribosomal RNA". It matches the Rfam family "Bacterial small subunit ribosomal RNA", at positions 338 to 795 of the family's 1533-position model. The record is from RNAcentral.